This is a long non-coding RNA of Rhipicephalus microplus (southern cattle tick), 669 nucleotides long. The record is from RefSeq and is a predicted model, not a curated record. Lineage: Eukaryota; Metazoa; Arthropoda; Arachnida; Ixodida; Ixodidae.
UUUCUUUAGGUGUAUAUGUGUCGCAAGUAACGCAUCUUUUGUUUUAUAGGAUAGGCAUUUAACUAUGAUUGGGCGACAUUUGCCCUGGCUGAAGGUACCCAAGCGAUGCGCGCGUUCAAUGGCAUCAGAGGAAAGGGGAGAAGAAAGGUGGCAAUUGAGAGUGGAAAUAACUUUUUCCUCUGUCAUUGCCCAGGUUUCUUCAGAAUCUGGGAUGCCGUAGAAAAUGAGGUUGUUGCGUCGCAGUCUGUCAUCGUGAUCCUGCACGCGUGUUUGCAAUGAGCAUACCUGAGCGGAAAGCUGAUCUGUCUGAGUAUGGAUGCUACUAACUUCCUGGUGAGCGGGUGUGAACAUCUUUGAGCAUUUGGAAAAUGACCCUCAUCUGUUCCGCGGGAUCUGCGGGUAAGGAUGCUAUGUCACCGAGCGUGUCCGAACGCUUGGUAGGGGGCCCGGGGUUGCUCUCAACAUCGCCAGCGCGUAGAAGCAAAAAAGGUAUGAAAAAAACAUUCACAAAACACUUCACACAACACCCGUGGACACGGGACCAGUAUUAAGCAGAGGUUGUUAUUUUUCUUUGCAUAUAAAGAAACGUUUGCACACACCUGCAUUGCAAAAGGGAAGCGAUUCAGUGCUUGUACAGAAGCACCGAUCCCGUGUCCACUGAAUUGGUUU